Molecule: non-coding RNA, 1782 nt
Organism: Meleagris gallopavo (turkey)
Lineage: Eukaryota; Metazoa; Chordata; Aves; Galliformes; Phasianidae
Source: RefSeq, a predicted model, not a curated record
CCCCGCGGACCGCACAGAACCCCGUAGAGCGCACCGUCCUGUAGAGCCCUGCAGAGUCCCUCGGGCCCCGCGGGGCUGCACAGAACCCAUAGAGCCCCAUAGAGCUCCUUUGAGCUCAUUGCCCCACGGACCCCGCUGUCCCGUAGCGUCCCUUUGGCUCCAUUUGCCCCCAUCGCCCCCCAGCACUACAGCUCUGCCCCCCACUCUGCAGGGGUCUCAGACCCCAAUCCCCUCCUGGGGUCAGCAGGUUUGGGGUUGCCCUGGGGGCCUGGGUCCUGCUGUGGGGUGGGUGCUGCUAUAGGGCCGGGUCCCGCUAUUGGUCUGAGUUCUCCUAUGGGUCUGGGGGCUCGCUGUGGGUCUGGAGAUGCACGGGGAUCUGCUGUGGGGCUUGGAGUUCAUUAUGGGUCUGGGUCCCACUAUGGGGCCAGAUUCCACCAUGGGUUUGCAUUCCUCUAUGGGUCUGGGGAUGCCCUAUGGGGAUGGGGUUCUUCUGUGGGGCUGGAGACACUUAUGGGGCUGGGGGCUCACUGUGGGUUUGGGGAUCUUCUAUGGAAUUGAGUCCCACUGUGGGGCCAGGUUCUGCUACGGGUUUGGAUUCUGCUAUGGGUCUGGGGUUCUCCUAUGGGGCUGGGGCUCUGCUUGUUGGGGGGUGGUGACACUUACAGGGAUGGGGUUUUUCUAUAGGGUUGGUGUUUUGCUAUAGGGUCUGGUUUCACCUAUGGGUACAGGUCCUGCUAUAGGGCUGGAUUUCUCUAUGUGUCUGGGGUUCCCCUAUGGGUUUGGGGGGUUCCCUUUGGGGCUGGGGGUCAGCUAUGGGUCUAGAGGUUCUCUAUGGGGCUGGGCCACAUUGUGGAGAUGGAGGCCUGCUAUGGGGAUAUUUAUAGGGCUCACUAUGGGGCUGGGGAUUCCCUAUGGGUCUGAAUCCUGCUUGGGCCUGGGAGCUCCCUUUGGGGCUGGAAGCUGCUGCUGAUAUGGGGCUAACUGUAUGGGUGGGUCUGCUAUGGGGCUGGGUAUUUGCUCCAGGUGUGGGGGUCCCCUAUGGGGCUGGGGGUUUCUUGCGGGUGUGGGGGCUCCUUAUGGAGCUGGGGUUUUGAAAUAGGGUCUACAGUUCUUCUAUAGAGAUGAAACCAGCUAUGGGGGCUGUGCCCCACAGACCACUGACCCCACUGUGCCCCCCAUUCUCCCACAGUUAUGUGAGACUGCUCCAUAUUCCUCGGGGGUUCAAGACCCCACCUCCCUCUUGCGGCAGAACCCGGUGGUGAAUUGCAGCGUGGCCACCUGCUUGGAGUGGCGCUGUCCGUGGGGCGACACGCUGCCCCCCGAGGGCGUGGAGUUCAUCGUUGGGGGGCAGCUGCGGCGGAACUGGGUGCAGCAGCUGCCCCUCCCCCACGUGGAACUGCAGAGCUCCAUUCAGCUGCAGCCUGAGGAGCGGCGCUACCGCAAUGUGGGGCGGGACCGCCUGGAGGUGGGCGGGGCUUUGGGAGGGGGAACCCAUUGAGCCCCAUGGAGUGCAUGGAGCCCUGCAGGCCCCACAGAACCCUAUAAAGUCCAUAGAGCCCCACGCACUGUGCUGAGCACGUGAAACCUCAUAGAACCCAUUGCCCCACAGAGCCCUAUGGCACCCAUAAACCCUAGGGAGCCCGCAGAACUCUGUAGACCCCAUAGCACCCCAUUGGGCACACAGAGCCCUAUAGAACCCAUAGCUCCUCACGGACCCCGUAGCGCCCUGUAGAUCCCCGGAGCCUCAUAGAGCCCGGUAGACCCCACAGACCCAAUGAAGCC